This 593-nucleotide ribosomal RNA is filed under the name uncultured Pseudozyma. RNAcentral describes it as "LSU rRNA". It matches the Rfam family "Eukaryotic large subunit ribosomal RNA", at positions 81 to 657 of the family's 3401-position model. The record is from RNAcentral. Lineage: Eukaryota; Fungi; Basidiomycota; Ustilaginomycetes; Ustilaginales; Ustilaginaceae.
UAGUACGGCGAGUGAGAGGGAAGAGCCCAAGAUUGAAAGCUGGCGUCUUCGGCGUCCGCAUUGUAAUCUCAAGAAGUGUUUUCCGCUUCGGACCAUGCCUAAGUCCCUUGGAAAAGGGCAUCAUAGAGGGUGAUAAUCCCGUACAUGGCAUGGAGCGCCCGAAGCUUUGUGAUACGCUUUCUACGAGUCGAGUUGUUUGGGAAUGCAGCUCAAAAUGGGUGGUAAAUGCCAUCUAAGGCUAAAUAUUGGGGAGAGACCGAUAGCGAACAAGUACAGUGAUGGAAAGAUGAAAAGAACUUUGAAAAGAGAGUUAAACAGUACGUGAAAUUGCCAAAAGGGAAGGGUAGGAGGUCAGAGAUGCGUCUUGGAAUUCAGCCUUGCUUUUGCAUGGUGUUUUUCCCAAGUUGCAGGCCAACGUCGGUUUUGGGCACUGGAGAAGGGUAGGAGGAACGUGGCACCUCUCGGGGUGUGUUAUAGCCUCCUACUGGAUACAGCGACCGAGACCGAGGAACGCAGCGUACUCGUAAGAGCGGGCCUUUUGGCACCUUUACGCUUAGGGCGUUGGCAUAAUGGCCCUCUACCACCCGUCUUGA